Molecule: ribosomal RNA, 758 nt
Filed under: uncultured bacterium
Lineage: Bacteria
Description: bacterial SSU rRNA
Rfam family: Bacterial small subunit ribosomal RNA
Source: RNAcentral
AGAGUUUGAUCAUGGCUCAGAAUCAACGCUGGCGGCGCGCCUAACACAUGCAAGUCGAACGAGAAAGCAGGAGCAAUCUUGUGAGUAAAGUGGCGUACGGGUGAGUAACACGUGGAUCAUCUACCCUCUUGUGGGGGAUAACUCUGGGAAACCGGAGCUAAUACCGCAUAAGUCCGAGAGGAGAAAGCAGCAAUGCGCAGGAGGAGGAGUCCGCGGCCGAUUAGCUAGUUGGUAGGGUAAAAGCCUACCAAGGCUACGAUCGGUAGCCGGCCUGAGAGGGCACACGGCCACACUGGCACUGAAACACGGGCCAGACUCCUACGGGAGGCAGCAGUGGGGAAUCUUGCACAAUGGGGGCAACCCUGAUGCAGCGACGCCGCGUGAGCGAUGAAGCCCUUCGGGGUGUAAAGCUCUUUCGGCAGGGAAGAUUAUGACGGUACCUGCAGAAGCAGCUGCGGCUAACUACGUGCCAGCAGCCGCGGUAAUACGUAGGCAGCGAGCGUUGUUCGGAGUUACUGGGCGUAAAGGGUGUGUAGGCGGUCUUCUAAGUCUGGUGUGAAAUCUCCCGGCUCAACUGGGAGGGUGCGCCGGAAACUGGAAGGCUAGAGUGCGGGAUGGGAGAGUGGAAUUCCUGGUGUAGCGGUGAAAUGCGUAGAUAUCAGGAGGAACACCUGUGGUGUAGACGGCUCUCUGGACCGCAACUGACGCUGAGACACGAAAGCGUGGGUAGCAAACAGGAUUAGAUACCCUAGUAGUCC